Molecule: long non-coding RNA, 282 nt
Filed under: Lathyrus oleraceus (garden pea)
Lineage: Eukaryota; Viridiplantae; Streptophyta; Magnoliopsida; Fabales; Fabaceae
Description: Pisum sativum (pea) long non-coding RNA (PSAT_LNC032575)
Source: RNAcentral
UUUUAUGGGCCUAUGCGCACCCAUGCACCCAUGCAUCAUUAAUGACCAAAUUUGGAAAGUGAAUUCAAGUGUGCAAAAAAAAAUGGAUUCAACUAUAAAUAGAGCCUCAUAUGCUCAGCAUUUCACACACAUUCGCGCCAAUUUUGAUCCCCUAACUCUAACCCUCACAUUGCAAAGGAUAAACCUGAGAAAUUCACUUGAAGUUGAGUUUGAAUUUCCACUGUUUUGAAAUUCAAAUCUCCAGGAAUCCACAACCUUUUGAGCAUUCAAUCCUUCUUCUGC